UGGGAAUCUUGGACAAUGGGCGCAAGCCCGAUCCAGCCAUGCCGCGUGAGUGAUGAAGGCCUUAGGGUUGUAAAACUCUUUCGCCGAGGACGAUAAUGACGGUACUCGGAGAAGAAGCUCCGGCUAACUUCGUGCCAGCAGCCGCGGUAAUACGAAGGGGGCUAGCGUUGUUCGGAUUUACUGGGCGUAAAGCGCGUGUAGGCGGGUCGUUAAGUUGGGGGUGAAAUCCCGAGGCUCAACCUCGGAACUGCCUUCAAAACUGGCGACCUGGAGCAAGAUAGAGGCAAGUGGAAUUGCGAGUGUAGAGGUGAAAUUCGUAGAUAUUCGCAGGAACACCAGUGGCGAAGACGACUUGCUGGAUCUUUGCUGACGCUGAGACGCGAAAGCGGUGGGGAGACAAACAGGAUUAGAUACCCGUGGUAGUCCGACGCUAGUAAACGAUGAGAGCUAGUUGUCGGCACGCAGUGCGUGUCGGUGACGC
This 481-nucleotide ribosomal RNA is filed under the name uncultured Pseudomonadota bacterium. RNAcentral describes it as "bacterial SSU rRNA". It matches the Rfam family "Bacterial small subunit ribosomal RNA", at positions 356 to 849 of the family's 1533-position model. The record is from RNAcentral. Lineage: Bacteria; Pseudomonadati; Pseudomonadota.